AUUAGGGGCAUGAAAACAUUUUUGUUCCCCAAGGGGGGUUAUGACAGAAAAUAAUUGAGAACCACUGCACAAAGCCUACAUGGUAUUUUUGUUGGCCAUAUAACUCAUAUCCAUAUACAUUUUUACAGUAUGCUAAUAGAAAUCUUAGCUUUUUCUUGUCUUAGUUUUGUGGCGAUCUUCUUUAUUUGUUCUGUGAGUUUUUUUUUUUUAUUGCAUUUUUCUUUACUUUAAUUGUGAAGACCAGACUUUUAUUUUGAAUAACUGGGUCCAAGCGGCACUUCUACUGUUUUACAGAGCAACAAUCCUAACAGGCCACAGCCCCUCACGUAGAACUUGAUAGGAGAUUAAUGCUUAAUUUCUUCAUUGCAACUGAAAGUCUUUAAUUAAUCUGUUACCCAAGUUGUUAACACAAAAUGCCAAGGCACGUAAUGGACCAAAAAAAAACAUCUUGUUGGAGGUUUAACCACAGAUCCAUGUUAGUCGUUAGCUCUUACUCAGCAGUAACUUCACUUUUUAUCUUCUCUAGUGUUAUGGGACCAUGCGUUAUCUUUUACGGACAGACUAUAUAGAACCGUUUUGUACGGACUACACAGAAUCAAACAGAACUUGCAUGAUUUGAAAUUUUUAUUUUCUCCCCAAUUACUGUCAUUUUUACUUCCAAACCUGAGAAACAACGGAAUGUUUGAAAUGUACUACAUCUAAGCCCUUAUAAUAAUUGAACAACUUAUGACAAAUGGUUUUAGCACCAGGCACUGUUUUUCCUGCAAAACUGAGGUAUUCGUUUUUUGGUUGUUUUUUUUUAGCUUAGAGUAACACAAAAAUAUUGUAUACGGUAGGUAGAAAAAGGACAUCACCCACUAUGCCUGAGUGUUUCCUUCUGUGUGCACUUCACAGUGUGUGUUUAUCAAAGAGGUAUUCUCCCAGAGAGCCAUGGGUAUCAGACGCAGUGAUGGAAGUCAGGCUUUUGUUGUAAUCACCAAGCUUCUUGAUGGUGUCAUAGCUAUCCUCCAGAAAGUUCUGCUCCAGAAAGUCACA
Molecule: long non-coding RNA, 1035 nt
Organism: Cynoglossus semilaevis (tongue sole)
Lineage: Eukaryota; Metazoa; Chordata; Actinopteri; Pleuronectiformes; Cynoglossidae
Exons: 2
Source: RefSeq, a predicted model, not a curated record